CCUACGGGUGGCAGCAGUGAGGAAUAUUGGUCAAUGGACGAGAGUCUGAACCAGCCAAGUAGCGUGAAGGAUGACUGCCCUAGGGGUUGUAAACUUCUUUUAUAUGGGAAUAAAAUGUUCCACGUGUGGGAUUUUGUAUGUCCCAUAUGAAUAAGGAUCGGCUAACUCCGUGCCAGCAGCCGCGGUAAUACGUAGGAUCCGAGCGUUAUCCGGAUUUAUUGGGUUUAAAGGGAGCGUAGGUGGAUUGUUAAGUCAGUUGUGAAAGUUUGCGGCUCAACCGUAAAAUUGCAGUUGAAACUGGCAGUCUUGAGUACAGUAGAGGUGGGCGGAAUUCGUGGUGUAGCGGUGAAAUGCUUAGAUAUCACGAAGAACUCCGAUUGCGAAGGCAGUUCACUGGACUGCAACUGACACUGAGGCUCGAAAGUGUGGGUAUCAAACAGGAUUAGAUACCCUUGUAGUC
This 460-nucleotide ribosomal RNA is filed under the name uncultured bacterium. Its description in RNAcentral is "partial 16S ribosomal RNA". It matches the Rfam family "Bacterial small subunit ribosomal RNA", at positions 338 to 795 of the family's 1533-position model. The record is from RNAcentral.